RNAcentral lists this transfer RNA (73 nucleotides) under Chitinophagaceae bacterium. RNAcentral's name for it is "tRNA-Met". It matches the Rfam family "tRNA". From Rfam's summary of the family: Transfer RNA (tRNA) molecules are approximately 80 nucleotides in length. The record is from RNAcentral. Lineage: Bacteria; Pseudomonadati; Bacteroidota; Chitinophagia; Chitinophagales; Chitinophagaceae. RNAcentral also lists the same sequence under 1 other name.
AGUGCUGUGGAGCAGUGGUCAGCUCGCAAGAUUCAUAACCUUGAGGUCGGUGGUUCGAAUCCAUCCAGCGCAA